RNAcentral lists this ribosomal RNA (253 nucleotides) under uncultured bacterium. RNAcentral describes it as "partial 16S ribosomal RNA". It matches the Rfam family "Bacterial small subunit ribosomal RNA", at positions 524 to 776 of the family's 1533-position model. The record is from RNAcentral.
UACGGAGGGGGCUAGCGUUGUUCGGAAUUACUGGGCGUAAAGCGCACGUAGUCGGCUUUGCAAGUCGGGUGUGAAAUCCCCGGGCUCAACCUGGGAACUGCAUCCGAGACUGCAUUGCUAGAGUAUGGGAGAGGGAAGCGGAAUUUCUGGUGUAGCAGUGAAAUGCGUAGAUAUCAGAAGGAACACCGAUGGCGAAGGCAGGUCUCUGGGCUGAAACUGACGCUCAUGCACGAAAGCGUGGGGAGCAAACAGG